RNAcentral lists this unclassified non-coding RNA (244 nucleotides) under uncultured fungus. RNAcentral describes it as "partial contains 5.8S ribosomal RNA, internal transcribed spacer 2, and large subunit ribosomal RNA". The stretch from base 1 to 52 matches the Rfam family "5.8S ribosomal RNA", at positions 103 to 154 of the family's 154-position model. Lineage: Eukaryota; Fungi. The record is from RNAcentral.
AACGCACAUUGCGCCCCUUGGUAUUCCAAGGGGCAUGCCUGUUCGAGCGUCAUUUGUACUCUCAAGCCUUGCUUGGUGUUGGGUGAUUGUCUUUGCUCUGCUUAGACUCGCCUUAAAUAUAUUGGCAGCUAAUAUAUUAGUUUGAAGCGCAGCACAAUUGCAAUUCAAGCCUUUAGUAUUCGCAUCCAUGAAGUUAUUUAACACUUUUGACCUCGGAUCAGGUAGGGAUACCCGCUGAACUUAA